This 500-nucleotide long non-coding RNA is filed under the name Dermacentor andersoni. RNAcentral describes it as "uncharacterized LOC126528306". The record is from RNAcentral. Lineage: Eukaryota; Metazoa; Arthropoda; Arachnida; Ixodida; Ixodidae.
AAAGGUAGUUGAAAGAAAAUGAGAAGAGAAUGAAGUGUGAAGUAUAUCAAAAGUACAUUUCGGAGCCCCUUAAAUAGGCUCUCUACAAGUGUGGGCGGGAUCUUGCUUCCGUCGAUGACACGUGACAGGCACAGAGAGAGGGCCCCUCCUCCUGCAAUACCGAGCACGGGAAGGAGAAGUCGAUCCUCUUUUCGACGAAUCCGGGGAGAAGGUCGGGUGAAUGACCUCUUCGGCGCCGUGGGGUCCGGCCAAGUAGAAGGUAGGGGGAUGACGUAUCGCCCGUGGUGUCCGGCCAUAUAGAAGGUAGGGGGAUGACGUAUCGCCCGUGGUGUCCGACCAAGUAGAAGGUAGGGGGAUGACGUAUCGCCCGUGGUGUCCGACCAAGUAGAAGGUAGGGGGAUGACGUAUCGCCCUUGGCGUCCGGCCAUACCUAACAGCAUCUCCGGCGGGGGAGGAAGAUCCCGACGUGUAGGGGCCAGCAGCCGCUGUACUAGGGAUCG